Planoprotostelium fungivorum is the source of this 71-nucleotide non-coding RNA. The record is from the annotation of a GenBank genome assembly. Lineage: Eukaryota; Evosea; Variosea; Cavosteliida; Cavosteliaceae.
AGUAAAGUAGUUCAAAGGUAGAACAACGGUCUCCAAAACCGUCGAUAGGGGUUCAACUCCCCUCUUUGGUG